GGGAAGGAGAGGUUAUAGAGGAUGAUGGGAUGUUAAGGGGAAGGAGAGGUUAGAGAGAAUGAUGGGAUGUUAAGGGGAAAGAGAGUUUAGAGAGGAUGAUGGGAUGUUAAGGGGAAGGAGAGGUUAGAGAGGAUGAUGGGAUGUUAAGUGGAAGUAGAAGUUAGAGAGGAUGGUGGGAUGUUAAUGGGAAGGAGAGGUUAGAGAGGAUGAUGGGAUGUUUAGAGGAAGGAGAGGUUAGAGAGGAUGGUGGGAUGUUAAUGGGAAGGAGAGGUUAGAGAGGAUGAUGGGAUGUUAAGAGGAAGGAGAGGUUAGAGAGGAUGAUGGGAUGUUAAGAGGAAGGAGAGGUUGGAGAGGAUGAUGGGAUGUUAAAGGGAAGGAGAGGUUAUAGAGGAUGAUGGGAUGUUAAGGGGAAGGAGAGGUUAGAGAGGAUGAUGGGAUGUUAAGGGGAAGGAGAGGUUAGAGAGGAUGAGGGGAUGUUAAGAGUGAAGAGGAAGGAGAGUUUAGAG
Oncorhynchus tshawytscha (Chinook salmon) is the source of this 506-nucleotide long non-coding RNA. The record is from Ensembl. Lineage: Eukaryota; Metazoa; Chordata; Actinopteri; Salmoniformes; Salmonidae.